This 383-nucleotide ribosomal RNA is filed under the name uncultured Gammaproteobacteria bacterium. RNAcentral describes it as "bacterial SSU rRNA". It matches the Rfam family "Bacterial small subunit ribosomal RNA", at positions 9 to 389 of the family's 1533-position model. The record is from RNAcentral. Lineage: Bacteria; Pseudomonadati; Pseudomonadota; Gammaproteobacteria.
GAGUUUGAUCGUGGCUCAGAGUGAACGCUGGCGGCAGGCCUAACACAUGCAAGUCGAACGGCAGCACAGUCCCGCAAGGGAUGGGUGGCGAGUGGCGGACGGGUGAGGGAAUACAUCGGAAUCUACCUUGUCGUGGGGGAUAACGUAGGGAAACUUACGCUAAUACCGCAUACGACCUACGGGUGAAAGCGGCGGACCGCAAGGCGUCGCGCGAUUGGAUGAGCCGAUGUCCGAUUAGCUAGUUGGCGGGGUAAAGGCCCACCAAGGCGACGAUCGGUAGCUGGUCUGAGAGGAUGAUCAGCCACACUGGAACUGAGACACGGUCCAGACUCCUACGGGAGGCAGCAGUGGGGAAUAUUGGACAAUGGGCGCAAGCCUGAUCC